Podarcis lilfordi (Lilford's wall lizard) is the source of this 81-nucleotide non-coding RNA. NCBI's taxonomy places the organism in Eukaryota, Metazoa, Chordata, Lepidosauria, Squamata, Lacertidae. The record is from the annotation of a GenBank genome assembly.
UGAUUUGAAGGUCCGUAGCUCAGUGGGGAGAGCAUCUGCCUUGCAUACAGAAGGUGCUGGGUUCAAUCCCUGGCACAUCAA